Coturnix japonica (Japanese quail) is the source of this 1566-nucleotide long non-coding RNA. The record is from Ensembl. NCBI's taxonomy places the organism in Eukaryota, Metazoa, Chordata, Aves, Galliformes, Phasianidae.
AAAAAUGCUUUUAGGACAGGGAGGUAAAUCUACUGGUUAAUUGCUCAGUGCUUUGCAUUAUAACCUUGUUACAGCAACUGGGCUGGGCAGGUCUGUUACUCCUUUCUCCUGCCCGUUGGGACCAACACCCCCAGUAUGCUGCUGUGCCCCAACUACCAGAAGCCACAGAGCAAUAAUUAAUGGGUCACUAGGCAAAGCAAGUGAUACAGCUGAAACACAAGAAGAAAUCUUCCCUUUUCAAAGGUGAUUUCCUAGAUGGGGGUGAUUUCAGGGGCAGGAGUAUUGCUAAUUUCCAGCCACAGCUUGGAAAAUCUUGCUCUGAGUGCAGGUCCUCUGCCUGACAAAGAGAUCUGAGUAAAGGAAUCACCAGCAGUGAGCAAGGUGUGACAGAAUCUGGCGUAUUGGAGUAACUUGGAGACACUGGUGGUGUUGACACAUAAAAUGCUUUCAUAGCUUGACUGGUUUUUCUUUUUGAUGCAAAGUGGGGACUCAGAUCACAUCAGGCUUCAGCAGUCCUGAAGGACAUUAAUGGAGGGUUGUGCCUUGAUUUAAUUCCUUGGCCAGCCCCAUAGCAAAUGUUGGAUAGAAGAGUUGUUCCAGCAGUUGGUUUUGAUGCAGUGCAGCAGCACGCAUCCCAUGCAGGCUGCACAGCUGGCCCUUCUGCCUGCUGCUCCUUCAGAGCAGCCCCUCUGCUGAUGGGAGCCAGCACACACCUCUAAAUGAUCUUUAUGAGUCCUCUCCAACUCUAGGUGUUGUACGAUUCCAUGAUUCAACAGCCAGCACUCUCUGCAAAUACAUUCUAUUUUGCAAAUUCAGACUCGCUUCGAAGGCCUCAGCAAGCGUUGGAGGCGGGAGGCUGAUUGCUGGGGCUGAUUGCAGCAUCGAUGCCACUGAUUACAUGGCCUUAAUUACCAUGAUGAGAAAAAGACUAAAAAGUCACCGAGCCUUAAAACCCUUUGGGGAGAGUGGGCAUUGCUUUUGUGCUUGGACCAGCAUCUCUCCCUUCUCCAUGGAUGCUCCACAAGAUGUGUGGUGAAGGUUAGCUCAGAAAGAGUCUCUGUACCAAGGACUGUUUCUGGGAGGGAAAUGAAGGUGGAUUUCUAACAGACCAUUUAAACCCAAUACCAGCAGACCUGUCCUAGGAUUGCUGCACCUUUAGCAGACACCUCCUGUUCACCUGCCUGAACAGGUCGAUGAGAUUAUCACUUGUUUGGGUGUGGGGUUUUUUUGCACACCUGCACGGUAAAAGAUGAACUAAAGGCAAAUGAAUCCUCUUUAUCAUUGAAAUCAAAGUAAUGCUCUGACACACAGUCUGCCAACAGGCAGAUCUGCUUUUCAUGAGCUUACAAACAGUGGUGCAGCGUGGCAAGGUGAUCCUUGCUGUGGAAGCUGGUGUCUUGGUGGAAAGAGCACUGCAGGUCUCUGGUCUUAAAUAUGCUCUUUUAUACUCUGUGUACCUACUUUACUUAUUAAUUUUCUUAAUUAUAUACAUUAUUACACCUCAUAUUCUGUUGUAAUAGCAUUUACUCAUUUAUAUUUGCACUGUAUCUGCGUUAAUGUCCCUGU